Molecule: long non-coding RNA, 245 nt
Filed under: Lotus japonicus
Lineage: Eukaryota; Viridiplantae; Streptophyta; Magnoliopsida; Fabales; Fabaceae
Description: long non-coding RNA (LJAP_LNC001625)
Source: RNAcentral
GGAGGAAUAACAUGGUUUUCGAGGAUUCACCUUGGUCGGUUGAUGAAGCUUGGCGUAAGAUUUGUCAUGAGCAUGAUGAGUUCAUUACUUUUCAGAUGGGGAUGCAGGGGAUCCUGGGUCUUGGCUGAGUUCCAGGUGGCAACCGCCGAGGCAAGGGAUUGUUAAGCUGAACGUGGAUGGGAGUUUUUGGGAGCAGGAUCGUUGUAUGGGGGCGGGUGGCUUGAUUCGGGAUGAUCAAGGCAAAU